RNAcentral lists this ribosomal RNA (341 nucleotides) under uncultured eukaryote. RNAcentral describes it as "partial 18S ribosomal RNA". It matches the Rfam family "Eukaryotic small subunit ribosomal RNA", at positions 169 to 478 of the family's 1831-position model. The record is from RNAcentral.
UACAUGCAUCCCAACACCGACCCUCGGGAAGGUGUGUUHYUACAUAGCCCAMAACCAAUCGUCUCUCCUCGUGGGUGACGUCAACUUGGUGAACUCAGAAUAACUUUGUUCGGAUCGCAUGGCCUUUGUCCCGGCGACGCAUCUHUCAAAUGUCUGCCUUAUCAACUUGUUGCYYCGGUUAAAUGCCAACCAAGGUGUUAACGGGUGACGGAGAAUCAGGGUUCGAUACCSCAGAGGGAGCCUGAGAAACGGCUACCACAUCCAAGGAAGGCAGNAGGCACGCAAAUUACCCACUCCCUGCUCGGGGAGGUAGUGACGAAAAUAACAAUGGAGACCAUCCG